UCUCGCCCACCCCAGCGCCCUGGGGCAACGCCCCGCUGCCGAUGCUCACCGAAGACCAGGAUGUUCUUGCCGGACGGCAGCUUCGACCUGGCACGGGUGGACACUUCGCUCAGAAUGGAGGACCUGCGGCGACAAUGAUGAGGAACCUGAAGCUCAGAAAAUUUAAGAAACCCACCUAAGGACCCAAGGCUAGAAAAUAACAUUCGAUACUUCUAUUUUAUUCCCCAACCCUGGACUAUUAUAUCAUCAACUUGGCCUAACCCUACUCAAGCCCUGCACUGAAAGACCAGCCUUAAGCAAGACGCCAGAAUCCUCAUAAAUAUCCUGCUUUUCCCCUUCCUCCUCGGAAGACUAAAGACUGAGUACCAGGUAGGCGGAUGCUGCAGAUACAGCAAAUGCAGAUUUCAACAGGGCAUUUGACAAUUCACAUCUUAGAUGCGAAAGUGAAAUCAAUGCUGGAUGAUAGCAUUGAGGCUUAUUAAAGACUAGCCCAGAGGUGCCUGAUGAAGAGGAGGGACCAGCAGAAGAGGCUGCUAGGGGCCUGUCCAAACCUCCUGCCUUGGCCAGCCAAUUCAGGGUGCCAUCAGUGACUUGGAUAAGAAUACAGCAGCAGUAAUGGAAGUUGUGGAUGACCUGAAGCAGGAAGGGUUGCCUUAUCUACUGCUUGACAAACUGAGCAGAGACUAAAUCUAACAAGAUGAAAUUUAGU
Piliocolobus tephrosceles (Ugandan red Colobus) is the source of this 709-nucleotide long non-coding RNA. RefSeq lists it as uncharacterized. The record is from RefSeq and is a predicted model, not a curated record. The transcript is spliced from 3 exons. Lineage: Eukaryota; Metazoa; Chordata; Mammalia; Primates; Cercopithecidae.